UUGUAGAAGGUGCUUCGGGCGCGGUCACGGUCCAAGUCCCUUGGAACAGGGCGUCACAGAGGGUGAGAAUCCCGUACGCGGCUGACGACCAAGCCUGGGUGAAGCCCUUUCGACUAGUCGAGUUGUUUGGGAAUGCAGCUCUAAAUGGGUGGUAAAUUUCAUCUAAAGCUAAAUAUCUGCCAGAGACCGAUAGCGCACAAGUAGAGUGAUCGAAAGAUGAAAAGCACUUUGAAAAGAGAGUCAAAAAGUACGUGAAAUUGUUGAAAGGGAAGCGAUUGCAAUCAGACUCGUUAGCGGGUGUUCAGCCGCUGUACGCAGUGGUGCACUCUCCCGCUUCGGGCCAGCAUCGGUUCCGGCGACCCGAUAAAGGCCUCGGGAACGUAGCUCUCUUCGGAGAGUGUUAUAGCCCGAGGUGUAAUGCGGCCAGCUGGGACCGAGGACCACGCAUUGCUAGGAUGCUGGCAUAAUGAUUGUAAUCGGCCCGUCUUGAAACCCGGACCAAGGAGUCGACCAAUCGCGCGAGUGUUUGAGUGAAAAACUCGCACGCGUAAUGAAAGUAAACGUAGGUGGGAGCCUUCGGGUGCACCAUCGACCGAUCUUGAUGUUUUCGGAUGGAUUUGAGUAUGAGCCCGAUUGGUCGGACCCGAAAGAUGGUGAACUAUGCGUGAAUAGGGUGAAGCCAGAGGAAACUCUGGUGGAGGCUCGCAGCGGUUCUGACGUGCAAAUCGAUCGUCAAAUUUGCGCAUAGGGGCGAAAGACUAAUCGAACCGUCUAGUAGCUGGUUCCCGUCGAAGUUUCCCUCAGGAUAGCAGCAGCGAAAUUAGUCUCAUGAGGUAGAGCAAACGAUUAGAGGUCUUGGGGUUGAAAUCGAC
This 872-nucleotide ribosomal RNA is filed under the name Ocellularia diacida. RNAcentral describes it as "eukaryotic LSU rRNA". It matches the Rfam family "Eukaryotic large subunit ribosomal RNA", at positions 150 to 1045 of the family's 3401-position model. Lineage: Eukaryota; Fungi; Ascomycota; Lecanoromycetes; Ostropales; Graphidaceae. The record is from RNAcentral.